CCAGUUUGACCUACCCUUUUGGUGCUUGUCCCAAGCACCAUUCCUAUGCCACUCCACAAGUGUUGCAACGAAAGCUGCCUCAAGUGUAGGGUGAUUUUUCCAAUCGGCUACUUCAGAAUCAUCAUUCAUCUAAUGCAAUAAACAAGAAAAGUUCAUAGUAAAUAACGUUUAGAUUGUACAAGGAAACAAAAAAUUCAAAGUGAGUGCUGGAACUUCAAAGUAGGAACCACUUCCAUACCUUUACGAAGUAAUUUCUCGCACAAGCACCCAAAUCGUUUGAACCGCUCUCGGAAUGUGCUUGUUGGACUGCAUGAAAGCAAAAUAUAAAAAAUGCUUCCUUAUUUGGUUUAACAAAUAAACACAAAUAGGCAUUCAAAGCAGUACAGCAAUCCCAAGCUAAGAAUUUUUAGCUAAACAGAUUAUGAGAUCAUUAACGAAUGUAUAGAAAUUGAAAAUAAUAGCAACCAAAACCAAAAUCAUAUAUGGAUGAAGAUCGUACCGCUGCUCUUAUGUACUCGACGGCGCUUAUGUGGCAUAUAAACGUGGCAGCGACAAAAAAUGGCGGACCUAACAGUCACGCACCAACUGGCUGCUUUAAAGACAAAAAGGGCAGCAAAAAAGAGAUGUUAGUGACCAAUGGCUGAUAGUAAAACCUUUAACCAACCAGCAAACCUAUUAUGAUGCCUUUAAUUGGACAGAGACCUUUUAGACUCUACAUUGUCGGGAACUACAUGUGUAAGUAUUAAUCAAGCAACUUAGGAUCCAAAAUGCAGGUAUGUGGAUUAGCCUGGUCAAUUUUUAAAUCUUGAAUCAACACUUGCUAGAAGAAUACAUAUAAUUUGAGUGAAGUAAAAUUCAUCUCGACCAAUGCACAAUUGCUGAUGUAAUGAGAAAAGGUUAACUAGUUCAUUUUGCAGCUAAACCAAAUUUGGAUAUAGGAAAAAUAAAAUGGACAUGGAAACAACACCAAAUACAAUGAACAUUUUCUUCUAGUAUUAUGGUGCAAAAAGGACCUUUAACCAUAAAAACAUCUAUUCAGAUCAAGAAAAGAAAAGUUCACUAAUAGGUGAAUUGGUAUUUCAAAUGACAUGAAAGUAUCGGCAUUCAAAAUAACCACUUUAAACUAUCAAGAUGAGCAUAAGCCUGCCAUUAUAAGAAAUUGUACUCUUAAUAAUUCAUAACCUAUGACAAUAGCCAAGCCCCCGCUCUUCUUCAAUGGCCUUGACUAGGAGGAGGCAUUUAAGGUUCUCCCUGUUUGCAAGAUCUGAAGUUCGAGGCCUUGCCUAGUAGAUUGGGGUUCAGAGAGGAUUUGGGGAGUGGGAGGCAAAAAAUAUACUGGGACAGUAAAAGAAGAAAGAAAGCUAGCAUAGCGAUAGCUUUCAUGUACAGAGAUUAAAUUGGGGAAAAAAAUCCUAAUUAUGGAUACUUCUCAUUUCAGAAGUUGAAGUUAGAAUUACAUCUCAUACCACAGUUCUAGGAAGCCCAAUGAGUUGCAAGCCAGGCAGGGAACUUCUUGAAGGAAAAUUCUUCCAUUUUUUGUCCGCAUUAAUUCUCAAGAAAAUAAAAACAACACUUUGUUCGUGAUACUAUAAAUUCUAUAAUUAAACACAGGAGCUUGAUACAAUUGUUUUGUUAAGAGCAGGCCGUCAUUGUGAAGGAAAUCGAAGAAUCAAAUACUGCUGCAUAUUCAUGUUGAAACAAAUUGCAGAUUCUACAGGGAAUCUAAUUUUGUAGGAGCUACCGAACCCUAAUUACAAUACAAAAAAAGACUCAGGCACUGCACAUACCCAUUCACUACUUAACAUAAUAACAAACUGGAAUGGAUCAGGAGAAAAUUGGAAGAAAAAAUCCCAUCUUGAUUCGCAAGACUGGGGAAACAUACCUUGAGGCUUAAAGGUUGGAAGCCACGCACAUAAUCAAAAUCCAGUUAGAUUCACAGAUGGACGGCGCCGGAAAAAUAUCUCAGCCGCUGGUGUCGCCGCUGAAGCUUAAUUGAAGCCAAAUUUGACAGCUACUUCGGAUCCGUUCUUCUUGUUAGUGCAUCAUGAAGAGACAAGUUGCUGGUUACCUCCUUGGCAUUCUAAUUUCAAAACCCACGGCUGAGAUAAAUGAUAUGUCAGUAAGAGGUUGGGG
Molecule: long non-coding RNA, 2133 nt
Filed under: Coffea arabica (coffee)
Lineage: Eukaryota; Viridiplantae; Streptophyta; Magnoliopsida; Gentianales; Rubiaceae
Description: long non-coding RNA (CARA_LNC002291)
Source: RNAcentral